This 775-nucleotide ribosomal RNA is filed under the name uncultured Neocallimastigales. Its description in RNAcentral is "partial large subunit ribosomal RNA". It matches the Rfam family "Eukaryotic large subunit ribosomal RNA", at positions 20 to 616 of the family's 3401-position model. Lineage: Eukaryota; Fungi; Neocallimastigomycota; Neocallimastigomycetes; Neocallimastigales. The record is from RNAcentral.
UACUAGAGUAGCACUCGCAUAUCAAUAAGCGGAGGAAAAGAAACUAACAAGGAUUCCCCUAGUAACGGCGAGUGAAGCGGGAAGAGCUCAAAUUUGAAAUCUUAAAGGGUUUCCCUUUACGAAUUGUAGUUUAAAGAAGUGUUUUCUGUUGAGGUUUUGGUAAAAGUUCUUUGGAAUAGGACAUCAUAGAGGGUGAGAAUCCCGUAUUUGACCUUUACUUUCAACUUUGUGAUACACUUUCAAAGAGUCGGAUUGUUUGGGAAUGCAGUCCAAAAUGGGUGGUAAAUUUCAUCUAAAGCUAAAUAUUGGCGAGAGACCGAUAGCGAACAAGUACCGUGAGGGAAAGAUGAAAAGAACUUUGAAAAGAGAGUUAAACAGUACGUGAAAUUGUCAAAAGGGAAGCGUUUGACACCAGUGUUGUUUUUCUGAAAAUCAAUUAAAGAACUGUUUAUGCUAAGUUGUUUAGACUUUAUCAGCUAUCUGUUUAGUUUUAGGCUUUUCUUUAAUGCACUUUUCAGUUAACAAGUCAACAUCAAUUUCUUUUGCCUGUAAAAAAGCUUGAGGAAGGUGGCUUGAGAUUCGUCUUAAGUGUUUAUAGCCUCUUGCCUAUGCAGUCGGAGAGAUUGAGGUCUGCAGCGUAGAUCCUUCGGGGCUAAAUGCAUUUGUGCUAAGUUAUAGCAUUUUAUAGACAACUUGUUGACUAUGAUUUGUCUUGUAGCUUACUCGCUUAUGUUAUUUUACCUACGCUUAGGAUGUUGAGCGCAUGUCUCUCUCU